RNAcentral lists this transfer RNA (71 nucleotides) under Cordylochernes scorpioides. RNAcentral describes it as "tRNA-Gly". The record is from RNAcentral. Lineage: Eukaryota; Metazoa; Arthropoda; Arachnida; Pseudoscorpiones; Chernetidae.
UGCAUCCGCCGGGAAUCGAACCCGGGCCGCCCGCGUGGCAGGCGAGCAUUUUACAACUGAACCACUGAUGC